Molecule: ribosomal RNA, 261 nt
Filed under: uncultured prokaryote
Description: partial 16S ribosomal RNA
Rfam family: Bacterial small subunit ribosomal RNA
Source: RNAcentral
UACGUAGGUGGCAAGCGUUGUCCGGAAUUACUGGGUGUAAAGGGCGAGUAGGCGGGUUGUUAAGUCAGAUGUGAAAUCUCCGGGCUCAACCCGGAACGUGCAUUUGAAACUGAUGAUCUUGAGUGAUGGAGAGGCAGGCGGAAUUCCGUGUGUAGCGGUGAAAUGCGUAGAUAUACGGAGGAACACCAGUGGCGAAGGCGGCCUGCUGGACAUUAACUGACGCUGAGGAGCGAAAGCGUGGGGAGCAAACAGGAUUAGAUA